Small nucleolar RNA from Pelobates fuscus (common spadefoot toad), 73 nucleotides. The record is from RefSeq and is a predicted model, not a curated record. NCBI's taxonomy places the organism in Eukaryota, Metazoa, Chordata, Amphibia, Anura, Pelobatidae.
UUCCAAUGAAGAUACCUUUGUCCAGUUCUGCUACUGAAUGGAUAGAGAUGAUAACUUCUGAAAACUGAGGAAA